AGGAAAGGAUUGAAAUAUCUAAAAGUCAUUUGGCUGGAGAAAAGUGUUUUCUUGAGACUUGGAGGCAGUCAGAUCAGAAGAGCA
Long non-coding RNA from Lynx canadensis (Canada lynx), 84 nucleotides. RefSeq lists it as uncharacterized. The transcript is spliced from 3 exons. The record is from RefSeq and is a predicted model, not a curated record. Lineage: Eukaryota; Metazoa; Chordata; Mammalia; Carnivora; Felidae.